GUGACGAGCCGAAGCGCUGUAUUCUUCUUAGCCGCUUCCGCCUGAUGGACAGCACUCCUCCUCCCAUGCUGUCGGUCACUAUCGAAGCCCGGCGCACUCUCCCGCGCCGGGCUUCUGC
RNAcentral lists this small RNA (118 nucleotides) under Rhizobium etli CFN 42. RNAcentral describes it as "Alphaproteobacterial ar14". It matches the Rfam family "Alphaproteobacterial ar14". Rfam says of the family: Smr14C2 was renamed NfeR1 (Nodule Formation Efficiency RNA) highly expressed in salt stress and during the symbiotic interaction on legume roots. Lineage: Bacteria; Pseudomonadati; Pseudomonadota; Alphaproteobacteria; Hyphomicrobiales; Rhizobiaceae. The record is from Rfam by way of RNAcentral.